This 495-nucleotide ribosomal RNA is filed under the name uncultured bacterium. RNAcentral's name for it is "partial 16S ribosomal RNA". It matches the Rfam family "Bacterial small subunit ribosomal RNA", at positions 28 to 507 of the family's 1533-position model. The record is from RNAcentral.
GACGAACGCUGGCGGCGUGCCUAAUACAUGCAAGUAGAACGCUGAAGGAGGAGCUUGCUUCUCUGGAUGAGUUGCGAACGGGUGAGUAACGCGUAGGUAACCUGCCUGGUAGUGGGGGAUAACUAUUGGAAACGAUAGCUAAUACCGCAUAAUAGCAGUUGUUGCAUGAUAACUGUUUGAAAGUUGCAAUUGCACCGCUACCAGAUGGACCUGCGUUGUAUUAGCUAGUUGGUGGGGUAACGGCUCACCAAGGCGACGAUACAUAGCCGACCUGAGAGGGUGAUCGGCCACACUGGGACUGAGACACGGCCCAGACUCCUACGGGAGGCAGCAGUAGGGAAUCUUCGGCAAUGGACGGAAGUCUGACCGAGCAACGCCGCGUGAGUGAAGAAGGUUUUCGGAUCGUAAAGCUCUGUUGUAAGAGAAGAACGAGUGUGAGAGUGGAAAGUUCACACUGUGACGGUAUCUUACCAGAAAGGGACGGCUAACUACGUG